CCCUUAGACGUUCUGGGCCGCACGCGCGCUACACUGACGAAGGCAACGAGCUACUCUUCACCGAAAGGUGUGGGUAAUCUUUUGAAACUUCGUCGUGCUGGGGAUAGAUCCUUGCAAUUUUUGAUCUUAAACGAGGAAUUCCUAGUAAGCACAAGUCAUCAGCUUGUGUUGAUUACGUCCCUGCCCUUUGUACACACCGCCCGUCGCUCCUACCGAUUGAAUGUUCCGGUGAGUUCUUCGGACUGCGCGGUCUGCAGUUUCUGCGUUCCGUGCGGAAAGUUGCGCAAACCUUAACAUUUAGAGGAAGGAGAAGUCGUAACA
RNAcentral lists this ribosomal RNA (321 nucleotides) under uncultured eukaryote. Its description in RNAcentral is "partial 18S ribosomal RNA". It matches the Rfam family "Eukaryotic small subunit ribosomal RNA", at positions 1470 to 1796 of the family's 1831-position model. The record is from RNAcentral.